GAGGUACCAAGUUUAGAAGGCUAUGAUUGGUCCAAAGGGCAAGUCACAAACGGAUUUCUCGGUUAUCAAAAAAAGGAUUUUGCAGAGACUUUCGAGAUCUUCCAAAGUAUUGAUGACAAGGUUAUUGGAUUUCUGCUUCUGAACAUGUAUCUGCAUACCUACACUCUAUCAUAAACUGGAUCAGUCCUGGAACAAUCUAUAUAUUCCUCUAUCUCCAAGCGCAGUGCCUUGUUUGAACAACUUGUGAUCUUCCUGACUACGAAAUCUCUGGAAGGUCUUCGUGCAAGUCAACUUGCAUGUUGUAUUAUUUCAGAACAAUGGUAACAGUGGUGGCUGUUCAGAAAAGCAACCUUUGCAUCCACUGUAUCUCUGCUACUCCAGAUGAAUCCAUUCUUCAAAAGUUCUGGAAGCUUUGUUAUCGCCAACUAAAUAUUCCAGGUGGUUCCAUGUUUCUAUUUGAUCGGAAUUUGGAAAGUACUACGAGAUUUCCGUAAUGGUCACCAUUGGAGGAAGAAGAAGGAUGGUGAAAUUGUUAAUGAAACUCAUGAAAAGAUGAAGGAUUUUAAAUCUUCUGUCUUUCUGGUGAAAGAGGCAUUUUUUCAGAAUGGUAAGAAGGAAGCUCGUAGAAUCUUGUGUAAAAGAAUUGAACUUCUGUGUUACUGAGAGUCGUGGGGAAUUACAGGACUCGGUCCCUAACAAAUCAAAGGGGAUUGAAGAUGAGCUCAUUAUCAAACUUAAAUCUUCUAUGAUAGAAGUUGAUGUAUGUGCCCUUAACAAAUUAAAGGUUGUAUGAACUUCAAUUGUCAAGGAAAAUACCCAUUGAAAGCUUGCAUAAAGAUCUUGCAGAGAUUCUCAAAAACUUCAGAAGUAUUGAUGACGAGCUUUGUGUUGUUUUUUCAGAACAAUGGAACAAUGGUGGUUGUUUCAGAAAAGCAACCCUUGCAUCCACAGAGCUUUUUGGGUACACUCCAGAUGAAUCCAUUCUUCAAAAGUUCUGGAAACUUUGUUAAUGCCAACAACAUAUUCCAGAUAUUUUUGAAAGCCUUGGAGCAACUUUAAAUGUUGCUAAACCAACAAAAGGUUCAUUUGCUAAACCAACAAAAGGUUCAAGUGUGGCUAAAUUUUUGACCGGGGAUGUAGGCUGCAGAAGGAGCAAGAAUUGUAUUGGUGUUGAUUUAAAUGCUAGCAUAUUUGAGCAAGGUUCAGGUGCUCAACAUUCAGAUCACGUGGAGAUCGAUUCUCGAUCCAUAUUAAGCAAUACUGUGGUCAGGUCCUCAACAUUCAAAUCACUUGGAGAUCAGCUCCCCAUUUGUAUUCAACAAUAUCAGUGGGUCAAAACAAUGUAACUUAGGGUUCAAACGAAGUUGAAAAGGUCCAAAAGACCCCUGGGAAAGUUACUCUCUGACCAAAUGACGGUCAGGACUGACGGUCCGUCGGUUGGCCAACGCCCCGUCGUUGGAUCGGUCGACUGGGCCUUUUCGACAAGCCUUUACUAAAAUGGGCAUAACUUUUUACUCGGAGGUCCAAUUUUAUCAAGGAAAAAGAGUUAGGUAGGUCGGCAGCUGUAGAAGAGUAUGAACCCAGAAGAAGAAGAAAGAUGGAUUGACCCACCUGAUCAGGAGACAUAUGUUGACUAGCUAACCAAUACAUGUGACAAGUGAAACUAUGAAUACAGAUGAUAGCUUUACAAUGUCUACAAAGCCUCUACUGGGAUCCAUGACUGUGCGACUAUGAAAUAUGCAUAAUAAAGACUCGACAAAGCCUCGAAUCAACCUGGAGCUCACCAACAACUGCUGAGUAUCAUGUGCUUCUAUUGGGCAAAUCCACUAGUUGAGUACAUGUACCUGCAACAUGAAAUGCAGCGUUCCCAAUAAGGAACAUCAGUAAGAACAAAUGUACUGAAUAUAUAAGGCAUUUACCAAUAGAUAAGGAUUAGAGACCAUCUUUGCUUAUACAUGUGGAAUCAUGUAUGUUACAUUCUUUUCUUUACUUAAGUGCGUUAUUAUUUCUAUAUGACAUAUGAUACAAAUGAAAUAAGUAGUUGAUCAGUGGUAAGAGAGGAUGACCCAUGCUAGACAUUUUAACCCAUGGGAUGUAGUGCUCAUAUUAUAUGUUGCUCUGUUCUUUUUGUUCAUGGGUAUUCUAAGGAUAACUUAUUCUAAAUGUUUAAUAAUAUGUUCUGAUUAGUUUAUGAA
Long non-coding RNA from Solanum pennellii, 2195 nucleotides. RefSeq lists it as uncharacterized. The transcript is spliced from 14 exons. The record is from RefSeq and is a predicted model, not a curated record. NCBI's taxonomy places the organism in Eukaryota, Viridiplantae, Streptophyta, Magnoliopsida, Solanales, Solanaceae.